UUUGCAAAGUGACUUUGCAAGGGUGUAGU
Molecule: non-coding RNA, 29 nt
Filed under: Rattus norvegicus (Norway rat)
Lineage: Eukaryota; Metazoa; Chordata; Mammalia; Rodentia; Muridae
Source: RNAcentral